UACGUAGGUGGCAAGCGUUGUCCGGAAUUAUUGGGCGUAAAGGGCGCGUAGGCGGCACCCUAAGUCAGAUGUGAAAACCCGGGGCUUAACUCCGGAGGUGCAUUUGAAACUGGGGAGCUUGAGUGCAGGAGAGGUAAGUGGAAUUCCUAGUGUAGCGGUGAAAUGCGUAGAUAUUAGGAGGAACACCAGUGGCGAAGGCGACUUACUGGACUGUAACUGACGCUGAGGCGCGAAAGCGUGGGGAGCAAACAGG
This 253-nucleotide ribosomal RNA is filed under the name uncultured bacterium. Its description in RNAcentral is "partial 16S ribosomal RNA". It matches the Rfam family "Bacterial small subunit ribosomal RNA", at positions 524 to 776 of the family's 1533-position model. The record is from RNAcentral.